RNAcentral lists this long non-coding RNA (1055 nucleotides) under Homo sapiens (human). Its description in RNAcentral is "HSALNT0376290". Lineage: Eukaryota; Metazoa; Chordata; Mammalia; Primates; Hominidae. The record is from RNAcentral.
UAGCAACCUCCCUGACAAAUGACAGUAGCCUGAAAAAGUGAGGAAGUACAAUGUCAGAUGGUAUAGCCUGGAAAACGACAGUGCACAGAGAGAAAUAAGAUGUACGAGGUUCAUAGAAAAAAUGCGAUUAAAUAACCACACAUGGAGGUUGUAUGAAGAAGAAAUUCACAAAAGAUUCCAACUAUACAUAUAUAGGAGGUAGCAGACACUUUCUCACUACAUACUAUUGUGGACUUCUCAAAUGGAAAAUGACAGGCAUAUCUAUUAGACAGAAUUGAGGCACCAACAUGCAAAUUGUACAGUUGUUCUGGGCAACAAUUUCUUCCUAUGACAAUAACCCUGGAUGUGGGCUCUUGCUGUAAACGACAUCACAAGAAGACAUUUGGACACACACGGUGAAUGACACAUGAAGAUGGAGGCAGAGAUCGGAAUGAUGUAUCUACAAGCGAUGGUCCACCAAAGAUGAUCAGCAAACCACCGGAAGCUGGGACAGAGGUCUGGAACAGAGCCUCCCUCACAUCCCUCAGAAGGAACCAACCCUGCCAGCACCUUAAUCUCACACUUCUAGCCUACAGAAUUCUGAGACAACACAUUUCUGUUGUGUACACAGAGACACAUAUUAAAUAAACCUUCUACAAGAGUAACCCGUCCAGAAAUGCAGCAAGAGGCUUCCAAAGGGCUAGAUUUAUUACAAAUUAAUCAAAUAGGUAAGAUGGAUCAUAAUGGAUAUUCCAGCCAAUGUAAACUGAGAGGAAAAGAAAAGCUCCGGCGGCAAGUCAAGAGCCAAAUGUUUCUGUUUUGAUUUAUUUAGCAUUUCCGAGAUGUUUCUUCUGUGGGGAACAAUAUGCAAGGCAUUGGAAAUUCAGAAGGCACAUCUUUUGUGUACCAUAAAAAUGUGCUGCUAACCUACAAUACCCUUAUAGAAAUACAAUUCAAUAAGAAACUCAGUUGGGAAGAUGUCUCAAUAGAACAACAUGAAAAAAAUGGUCAAUACAAGAAUGAUUCACUUUACUUUUACAAGGGAUUUCGAUGCUACGAAUAGAAAUGCCUUUGGA